RNAcentral lists this ribosomal RNA (622 nucleotides) under uncultured bacterium. RNAcentral describes it as "bacterial SSU rRNA". It matches the Rfam family "Bacterial small subunit ribosomal RNA", at positions 338 to 953 of the family's 1533-position model. The record is from RNAcentral.
CCUACGGGAGGCAGCAGUGGGGAAUUUUGGACAAUGGGCGCAAGCCUGAUCCAGCAAUGCCGCGUGCAGGAUGAAGGCCUUCGGGUUGUAAACUGCUUUUGUACGGAGCGAAACGGUCUGCUUUAAUACAGUAGGCUAAUGACGGUACCGUAAGAAUAAGCACCGGCUAACUACGUGCCAGCAGCCGCGGUAAUACGUAGGGUGCGAGCGUUAAUCGGAAUUACUGGGCGUAAAGCGUGCGCAGGCGGUUAUAUAAGACAGAUGUGAAAUCCCCGGGCUCAACCUGGGACCUGCAUUUGUGACUGUAUAGCUAGAGUACGGUAGAGGGGGAUGGAAUUCCGCGUGUAGCAGUGAAAUGCGUAGAUAUGCGGAGGAACACCGAUGGCGAAGGCAAUCCCCUGGACCUGUACUGACGCUCAUGCACGAAAGCGUGGGGAGCAAACAGGAUUAGAUACCCUGGUGGUCCACGCCCUAAACGAUGUCAACUGGUUGUUGGGUCUUCACUGACUCAGUAACGAAGCUAACGCGUGAAGUUGACCGCCUGGGGAGUACGGCCGCAAGGUUGAAACUCGAAAGGAAUUGACGGCGNGAGACGAGACGACGGACGACACGAGGGAGGAGG